RNAcentral lists this ribosomal RNA (573 nucleotides) under Pichia kudriavzevii. RNAcentral's name for it is "partial large subunit ribosomal RNA". It matches the Rfam family "Eukaryotic large subunit ribosomal RNA", at positions 87 to 670 of the family's 3401-position model. The record is from RNAcentral. Lineage: Eukaryota; Fungi; Ascomycota; Pichiomycetes; Pichiales; Pichiaceae.
CGGCUAAGCCGGGCCGAAGUGAAGCGGCAAGAGCUCAGAUUUGAAAUCGUGCUUUGCGGCACGAGUUGUAGAUUGCAGGUUGGAGUCUGUGUGGAAGGCGGUGUCCAAGUCCCUUGGAACAGGGCGCCCAGGAGGGUGAGAGCCCCGUGGGAUGCCGGCGGAAGCAGUGAGGCCCUUCUGACGAGUCGAGUUGUUUGGGAAUGCAGCUCCAAGCGGGUGGUAAAUUCCAUCUAAGGCUAAAUACUGGCGAGAGACCGAUAGCGAACAAGUACUGUGAAGGAAAGAUGAAAAGCACUUUGAAAAGAGAGUGAAACAGCACGUGAAAUUGUUGAAAGGGAAGGGUAUUGCGCCCGACAUGGGGAUUGCGCACCGCUGCCUCUCGUGGGCGGCGCUCUGGGCUUUCCCUGGGCCAGCAUCGGUUCUUGCUGCAGGAGAAGGGGUUCUGGAACGUGGCUCUUCGGAGUGUUAUAGCCAGGGCCAGAUGCUGCGUGCGGGGACCGAGGACUGCGGCCGUGUAGGUCACGGAUGCUGGCAGAACGGCGCAACACCGCCCGUCUUGAAACACGGACCAAA